AGCAGGUCCAAAGAUAGCGAGUUAUCUCCAUUCAGUGUUCACAAUUACAGGCCAAGCGCUUUGUUCCACUCUUUCGCCCCUUCUCACUUCUGCACUUGACUAGUCUUUA
Molecule: unclassified non-coding RNA, 109 nt
Organism: Cercocebus atys (sooty mangabey)
Lineage: Eukaryota; Metazoa; Chordata; Mammalia; Primates; Cercopithecidae
Rfam family: Y RNA
About the family: Y RNAs are components of the Ro ribonucleoprotein particle (Ro RNP), in association with Ro60 and La proteins. The Y RNAs and Ro60 and La proteins are well conserved, but the function of the Ro RNP is not known.
Source: Ensembl